This 374-nucleotide ribosomal RNA is filed under the name Salmonella enterica subsp. enterica serovar Agbeni. Its description in RNAcentral is "partial 23S ribosomal RNA". The stretch from base 68 to 374 matches the Rfam family "Bacterial large subunit ribosomal RNA", at positions 568 to 878 of the family's 2925-position model. Lineage: Bacteria; Pseudomonadati; Pseudomonadota; Gammaproteobacteria; Enterobacterales; Enterobacteriaceae. The record is from RNAcentral.
ACUCCACAUACGCAUCCUUUGCUGAGGAUACGGUUAACGGAGCGAAAGCGACGUUCAACCGCAAAAGAAGCAGAGGGGGCUUAGUGGUGGGGUGACUGCGUACCUUUUGUAUAAUGGGUCAGCGACUUAUAUUCUGUAGCAAGGUUAACCGUAUAGGGGAGCCGCAGGGAAACCGAGUCUUAAUUGGGCGUUAAGUUGCAGGGUAUAGACCCGAAACCCGGUGAUCUAGCCAUGGGCAGGUUGAAGGUUGGGUAACACUAACUGGAGGACCGAACCGACUAAUGUUGAAAAAUUAGCGGAUGACCUGUGGCUGGGGGUGAAAGGCCAAUCAAACCGGGAGAUAGCUGGUUCUCCCCGAAAGCUAUUUAGGUAGC